RNAcentral lists this ribosomal RNA (305 nucleotides) under uncultured bacterium. RNAcentral describes it as "bacterial SSU rRNA". It matches the Rfam family "Bacterial small subunit ribosomal RNA", at positions 334 to 655 of the family's 1533-position model. The record is from RNAcentral.
GAUUCCUACGGGGCGCAGCAGUGGGGAAUAUUGCACAAUGGGGGAAACCCUGAUGCAGCGACGCCGCGUGAGUGAAGAAGUAUUUCGGUAUGUAAAGCUCUAUCAGCAGGAACGAGACAAGACGGUACCUGACUAAGAAGCCCCGGCUAACUACGUGCCAGCAGCCGCGGUAAUACGUAGGGAGCAAGCGUUGUCCGGAAUUACUGGGCGUAAAGGGCGCGUAGGUGGGCGCUUAAGUCAGGUGUGAAAACUCCGGGCUCAACCUGGAGACUGCACUUGAAACUGGGUGUCUUGAGGGCAGGAGG